This 478-nucleotide ribosomal RNA is filed under the name uncultured bacterium. Its description in RNAcentral is "partial 16S ribosomal RNA". It matches the Rfam family "Bacterial small subunit ribosomal RNA", at positions 28 to 507 of the family's 1533-position model. The record is from RNAcentral.
GAUGAACGCUGGCGGCGUGCUUAACACAUGCCAGUCGAACGAGAAGUGAAGACGGAAACCUUCGGGCGGAAGGCUUUAUUUCGAGUGGCGGACGGGUGAGUAACGCGUGGGUAACCUGCCUCAUACAGGGGGAUAACAGUUGGAAACGACUGUUAAUACCGCAUCAGACCACAGCACCGCAUGGUGCGGGGGUAAAAACUCCGGUGGUAUGAGAUGGACCCGCGUUCGAUUAGCCAGUUGGCGGGGUAACGGCCCACCAACGCGACGAUCGAUAGCCGAUCUGAGAGGAUGACCCGCCACAUUGGGACUGAGACACGGCCCAAACUCCUACGGGGGGCAGCAGUGGGGAAUAUUGCGCAAUGGGGGAAACCCUGAUGCAGCGACGCCGCGUGAGUGAAGAAGUAUUUCGGUAUGUAAAGCUCUAUCAGCAGGGAAGAAAAUGACGGUACCUGAGUAAGAAGCCCCGGCUAACUACGUG